Long non-coding RNA from Lethenteron reissneri (Far Eastern brook lamprey), 472 nucleotides. RefSeq lists it as uncharacterized. The record is from RefSeq and is a predicted model, not a curated record. NCBI's taxonomy places the organism in Eukaryota, Metazoa, Chordata, Hyperoartia, Petromyzontiformes, Petromyzontidae.
CCCUCCUGCCCCUCCUCCACCUCCCCUCCUGCCCCUCCUCCACCUCCUCUCCUCCCCUUGAUUGACUGGAAGCGAAGAUUCGAGCAGCAUUUAAUUUAAGGCACAUUAUCAAAUCAGAUACCCUAGAAACCGGUUAAAACCGGUUCGGAAGUACCCUCGGCAGGAAUCGCGAUGUUAUUUCAAGCGUAAAGCAGGGCGGUAGCGGUGGGGAUGGUGGUGAGCUGAGAUGAUAGGGUUGGCUGCGGUGAGUUUGGUGGGUUGAGUGAGGUGGUUGGGUGAAGUGAAGUGAGAGGGUUGGGUGAGCUGAGAGGGUUGGGUGAGGUGAGGUGGGAGGGUUGGGUGAGGUGAGGUGAGAGGGGUUGGGUGAGGUGAGGUGGGACGGUUGAGUGAGAGAGUUGGGUGAGAUGGUUGGGUGAGGUUCAGCACCAACCAGCUCCACAGCCUUGCCUGCGACUCACCGCAGCUGUCAACC